GCUGCCCUACGAGGGGCGGCGCAAGGGCGGCAGCGCGGGCCGUUCGGAGCGGCGGCGGCGGCGGCUCCCUCCCGUCCCCGUCCGGCCAUGGACCGCUACGUCCUGCUCCUGAGCUGGGGGGAGCGCAGGGCCGAGGGUGCUGCGGCGGGCGGACCCGGGCCCGGAGCAGCUGGGGCUGCUGCAACUCUUUAUCAGUUCCUGAAAGCAAGCUGUAAAUCAUCUAUAAAUGCAGAUGUGAGCGCAUUCCCAGCGUGUUCAGUGGCUGGUAUUCCAGGUGUAAAGAAAUGGUAUUUUGCAAGUCAUGUUAUAUGCGGUUAUUAUCAGUUCUGCAGUUCUGACUGGGAGGAAAUAAAUUUUGACACACAGAAAAAUGAAGACUGUCUCCAAACAAGUAUUGACGAAUGCCUGGGAGCCAUACAAAAUUUUGAGGAGGAUGACAAUAACAGUAGAGAGUCACUGUCUAUGACUGAUAUCUAUGAUGAAGCUGCAGAAAGUCUGCAUCAGUUAGCUGAUAAACUGCCUGCCCCAGGCAGAGCAAUGGUUGAUGUAAUACUGCAGGCUGUUGAACGAGAUGGACCCAAGUUAAAAGACUGCUUACCUGCUAUUGGUGCACUGAAACACCUGGGAGAAUGGCACUCUGCACAAAUCACUAUUACAGCAAAUGAUUCUAAAGGUAGCUGGCAAAAGAUUGCAGACUAUCUAUCAGCAGACUUUGUAUCUUCAGAUAAUGUUAUGAAUAUUAUUGAUUUAAAAGAGCUCUGGAGAGGAAAGAUUCAGAUAUGUGAAAGAAAGUUUGGAUCAGAAGUUAGGUUUCCAAAAUUUUGUAUGAAGAGCACUUCAGCAAAGACAUUCAGCACUUCACAUUUAAGUUCUUGCUUUGCCGCUAAAAAAGAGCGACAAUCGAGGAAUACUGAUGCUUUGCCAGAGGUUUUUCAUUACUAUGGUCCUGCACUAGAAUUUUUACAGAUGGUGGUGCUCUCUGAUCUACCUUCCUUUUUUAUAUCAGAUCUGGAAUUCGAGCUGAGCCUGGCAGGAAAGAGUAUCAAGGAGACAUCUACACUGCUUUUGGACCAGAUAUCUUCUCUCUCUGGGAAGGUGGGAGCUUUGUUUACAUUGCCAUGUAAUGUAAGCAGUGUAGUGAUCCCAUCCCCUGCCCAGCUGAGUACCAAGAAAUGGAAAGAAUAUAUGGCUAGGAAACCCAAGGUCAUUACUGUUCCAGAAAUUGAACUGAAAGGAGAAUCUUGCCGAUAUUAUUUCUUGCUACAAGGCAAUGACUCCGGAGGAUGUAAAGCAACCUUGAUUCAUUCAGCUAGCCAGAUCAAUGGUACGGCCACUCUUGCUGCAAUAAAUGGAAAGCUAAAGACAAAAGCAGAAGAAACAGAGUCAAGCUUCUGUAUUGCUGACUUUAUCAAGUCUCUGCCACGUUUUUGUGGAGAGGAGAUUGUACAGAGAGAAAAGAAACUGUCUCGUCUCCAAGUGUUUGCCUUGAAGGAAUAUCUCAAGAGAAAGGAAUUGACCAAGCAGCCUCCAGUUAUUUCUACUGAUGAGUUUAAAAACUUGUUAGAACUUACAAGAGAAAGUUUUUUGGACCUGUGCAACACUAGUCUACCUAAACCUGUUCUACAGAAGGUUGCAAAUAAGACUAGGUCAUGCACUGUGACUUCUGAAUCUGAUUUAAUGGAGCCAAAUCCAUUGGAGUGGCCAGAAAGACAUGUUCUUCAGAAUUUGGAAAACUUUGAAAAAAACAAACAAAAAAUGAGAGUUUCUAUGUUUGCACAUUCAUCUGAGCAAUUGCUGGGGCAUAAAGAUAGCCAGCGGGAGUCAUUGACGUUACUCGAUGCUAAAGAAUUACUGAAAUAUUUCACACCCGAAGGGCUACCAGUUGGUGAUCUUCAGCCACUACAAAUUCCCAAACGUGAAAACGCAUUCCUUUUGACACCAGAGCUUACUCCUCGGAAACUCAGAGGUUUGCCUUUUGAAAAAGCAGCUGGAUGCCAUUAUCAUGGACUUGAAUAUUGUCUAGAUAACAGAAGAGCCUUAGAGAGAGAUGUGGGAUACGCUGAACUUCAAACUCGUCUUAUUCGCUAUGAAACUCAGACUACUUGCACCAAAGAGUGCUGCCCUGUGCCGAUUGUCUUGAGCCCUCUCCCAUCCCCUGCAGUCUUGUCAGAGCCUGGAAGUGUCCCUGAUGGAGAGUCUUUACAAAGUGAAUUCAAAACAGAGGCAUCAAGGCUAAAACGCAGAUCAAAAGACUUGGAUUGCUUUUAUCCCAAGAAAAGGCUAACCAAAUCUGAGAGUACAGAUUCCCUCCUCUCUCAGGCAAGCGGAAGUAGUGGGAAUCACUAUACAGCUGCUGUAGCGAGGAAGCGUUCUGAAAGAUCAGUUUCUUUAGCUUCGAUGGCUUUGAAACAGCCUGGUCAACCCCACAAAGUAACCACUAAGGUUGUCUCAGCGAGUUGCAUAAGUGCAACCGAAUCUGAGACUUCAAAGCCAGCUAAGGAAUCGAGAUCCCAGAAACAUACAAGGAUGCUGAAGGAGGUGGUUGCUAAGACUCUUCAAAAACAUGGAAUUGCAGAGGAUCACAAGUGCUUUGCAUCAUGCAGCCAGCGUCUAUUUGAGAUAUCAAAGUUCUACUUAAAGGAUCUUAAAACUUCUAGGGGACUUCUUGAUGAAAUGAAGAAAACGGCAAAUAACAAUGCUAAACCGGUGAUUGAAUGGGUUUUGGAGAAGACUGGCAAGUAGAGGUACUGAAUAGGUGCUAUUCACACCUUCCUAAAAACUGCGGAGACAGAGCACUUCCGAUUGUAAGAAAAGCCUUAUACUGCCCAACACAGGUGCACACAUAUCUACACACCAGAAGGACUUUGUUCUCCCUGGGGAUUUGUUUUCUAAUGCCUCUAAUUCAAGCACAGAAAUUCUGACAAAGGAAACAAACUGAAAAGCUAAUCCCUUCUGGAAAAAGUAGCUGGCCCUGAUUCUGCUUCCACUGAAACUGAAGAAGCUCCAAUUAACUUUUAAACAUGGGUAAGAGGACAUUGAGAAGUCUUGCAGAUGGAAAUCAAAUCAACUUCUACUUCAAAUCAGCUGUGCUUCCGAAUGUGAAGAGCUGGAUGGAGCAUGCCUCCAUGUCCUGUGGCAAGAAAGAAUACUUACCUUCCGCAGAAGGAGAAAGCACUUGUUUCGUUAUUUGGAAAUGACCAAUUCUAAUGAUGUUCGUGGUAGCCAUUUACUUGGUAGCACAUAAAGAGUUGUGUUCCGAUUUAUAAAGUACCUUAAGAGAUGCUAGUUCCAUUUAAAGAGCAAGACUCUUAGGAAACACAGUAUGUUUCCCUGAACACACUCAGAUCAGCUUUAUUUUCUUUUAUUUUUUUUUAACAAACACCUUGUAUCACAUUUUUCCAAUAACAUAUAUGUUCCAAUAUGUAUCCAAGUCUUUUUAACGGUGAAGCUGCUAUACAAACUUUCUGAUCAGACCGUUCCAUUUACAGUCAGUAUUUUGUGAAAAGAGUGAAACUCGGGAAUAUCCCUUUUUAGGGUUUCCAUGCAGCUGGUCUGCCAUACCUCAGAUCAGACUGAAAGAAGAGGCUUAAAUUCCCACAGUUAGCUUUUCUAUUUGGGCCACUAAAUUAAGAAUUAAAGUAGAAGGGAAGAAAACCAUCUUUUUUUCCAUAACCAUUCAUAAGAUAAGCAAGGCACAUGUUGGCCUCACUCCUUGAAUGCAGAAGCUCGAGCAGAAAUUUCUGCUCUUUUUUUUUUUUUUUUAAUGACUUCUAUAACCACCCAGUUAAGUAUAAGCAAGAGAGAAAGCAUUGUAACUUCAGCAGGUGAGUCUGAGCGACCUUGCCCAGAACAUCCCUGUGGCCUUUCAGUAAAUGCCAGCAGCAAAAAAAAAA
Aquila chrysaetos chrysaetos is the source of this 3893-nucleotide RNA transcript. It is a transcript of the gene named MDM2 binding protein, with no coding region annotated. The record is from RefSeq and is a predicted model, not a curated record. The transcript is spliced from 24 exons. NCBI's taxonomy places the organism in Eukaryota, Metazoa, Chordata, Aves, Accipitriformes, Accipitridae.